ACUUUUUUUGGGGGGGGAAGGAGGAAGGAAAAAAAAUGUAUAAAAAAAAUAUUCUUAUUUUUACACAAUUUUACACCACUUUGGUUUUGCUGUUAUUUCCACUUUGCCACUAGUUUUUUUUCGAAUUUGAAUUUGAAUGUCGCACACGUGCGUGCAAGCGGGACGAACAACACAGGCACACACUCAACACACGGCACACGAAAUGAAUACAAAAAUUGUGUUUCAAAAUUUUGUUGUUUUGUUAGGGGUUGCUCUGGGGACUAUUCUGGCCGUCCUGUCCUCCGCACCCACCCGCAGCCCGCAGCCAGCAGGAUGUUUAAAGGAAAACAGAAGCUGAUUGCCAAAGCGAAAUGCGCAAAAAAAAAAGAAAAGAGAACGGAAAACGAAAAUGAAAACACGGCGCAAACGCGAGACAAAAAAGAGAUGCCUCUGCCAGCAACGGCGUUCUUUCUUUAGAUUCGUAUUGGAAUUCAAAGCAGUCGAAUAUUUGGCGGACGACAGAGGCGACAAAGGAGAGUACUGUUUCGCUCUCUCUCUCUCAGUCGCUCUCUCAUAAAUCACAGCCGACAGACAGCCUCCUGCUCCUCAUCUGGCGCACACAUUUAUUUGAUACUCCUUGAUUUUAUUGUAUUUCCAAGGAGGAAGAAGAGGACGAAAAACAACAGCAAGAAGAGCAAGAAGGAGCAGAGCAAAGCAGACACGCAGAUAGCCGCCACAGCUGAGUGCACGCCUCUGCUCUGUCGGUGUGUGGGUGAGAGAGAAGUCUGCUGGCGCUGGGUGCUCUGCUGGAUGCUGGCUGCUGGGUGCUGGGAUGCUGCGGGACGGCAGCGGCAGCAGCAGCAGAAGUAAACGUGAGAGCGAGAGUGAGAAAAAUCGAAUGAACUGAGUACGAAGGCAGCGAGCAAAAAGGAUUACAGGAUAAAGCAGCGGAGAAGCAGCAGCAGGCGCAAAAUUCAAUUCAGUGAAAGACAGAGGCGGCAACAAAAACAUGUGCGCCGUUGAAUGAAAUGCGGGAUGCUGUUGCGAAGAGAGUGAGAGCGAGAGCGGGAGCGGCAGG
Long non-coding RNA from Drosophila pseudoobscura, 1057 nucleotides. RefSeq lists it as uncharacterized. The transcript has 2 exons. NCBI's taxonomy places the organism in Eukaryota, Metazoa, Arthropoda, Insecta, Diptera, Drosophilidae. The record is from RefSeq and is a predicted model, not a curated record.